GACGAACGCUGGCGGCGUGCUUAACACAUGCCAGUCGAACGAAGAGCGAUGGAAGCUUGCUUCUAUCAAUCUUAGUGGCGAACGGGUGAGUAACGCGUAAUCAACCUGCCCUUCAGAGGGGGACAACAGUUGGAAACGACUGCUAAUACCGCAUACGAUCUAAACUCGGCAUCGAGGAUAGAUGAAAGGUGGCCUCUACAGGUAAGCUAUCACUGAAGGAGGGGAUUGCGUCUGAUUAGCUAGUUGGAGGGGUAACGGCCCACCAAGGCGAUGAUCAGUAGCCGGUCUGAGAGGAUGAACGGCCACAUUGGGACUGAGACACGGCCCAGACUCCUACGGGAGGCAGCAGUGGGGAAUCUUCCGCAAUGGACGAAAGUCUGACGGAGCAACGCCGCGUGAGUGAUGACGGCCGUCGGGUUGGAAAGCUCUGUUAAUCGGGACGAAAGGCCUUCUUGCGAAUAGGGAGAAGGAUUGACGGUACCGGAAUAGAAAGCCACGGCUAACUACGUG
RNAcentral lists this ribosomal RNA (510 nucleotides) under uncultured bacterium. RNAcentral describes it as "partial 16S ribosomal RNA". It matches the Rfam family "Bacterial small subunit ribosomal RNA", at positions 28 to 507 of the family's 1533-position model. The record is from RNAcentral.